AGCGUCUGGGAAAGACGCAGGUUCUCGCGAGGACCGCCCCGUUAACCCUUCCCUCUGUCUCGGCGUUCGGAUAGCUCGCCUGUCAGCGUGUGUACAUUUUCGUAUCCAGUCUAGCCUGGAGGAGAAAAGCUGUACCGGCGUCGGUUCAGUUGUCAUCUUGUUCACCAACACUCACGUUUUCCAUAUUCCACACUCUUAGCUUUGAAUCUCUGGGCAAAUUAGGUCCCCCAAAGAUGCUGGUUCCCCAAAGAUGCCAUCAUCCCUAGAAAACAAGAAGCAGUCUAUAGAACAUGACACCCAUAUUCCCAAGAGGACUGGAGAGAUGGCUCUGCAGUUAAGAGUACUUGUUGCUCAUGCAGAAGACACAGGUUCAAUUCCCGGCAACCAUAUGGUGGCUCACAUCUAUCUAUAACUUCAGUUCUGAGGAACUGAAGCCUCCUCCUGACUUCCAUGGGCACCAGGCAUGCAUGUGGUAUAGACAUGCAAUUUGGCAAAAUGUUCAUACAUAUAAAAUAAGUCUUUCAUUUUAA
Molecule: long non-coding RNA, 530 nt
Organism: Peromyscus eremicus (cactus mouse)
Lineage: Eukaryota; Metazoa; Chordata; Mammalia; Rodentia; Cricetidae
Exons: 3
Source: RefSeq, a predicted model, not a curated record